RNAcentral lists this small RNA (304 nucleotides) under Macaca mulatta (Rhesus monkey). Its description in RNAcentral is "Metazoan signal recognition particle RNA (ENSMMUG00000058828.1)". Lineage: Eukaryota; Metazoa; Chordata; Mammalia; Primates; Cercopithecidae. The record is from RNAcentral.
GCCGGGCGACGUGGCGGGCACCUGUAGUCCCAGCUACUCGGGAGGCUGAGGCACGAGAAUGGCCUGAACCCGGGAGGCGGAGCUUGCAGUGAGCUGAGAUCCGGCCACUGCACUCCAGCCUGGGUGACAGAGUGAGACUCUGUCGCAAAAAAAAAAAAAAAAAAAGAAAUUUACUCAAAGAUUAUUUUUCUUUUUCUUUCUCUUUUUUUUUGAGAUGGAGUCUCGCUCUGUCUGGAGUGCAGUGGAGUGAUCUCGGCUCACUGCAACCUCCGCCUCCCGGGUUCAAGCGAUUCUCCUGCCUCAG